AACGAACGCUGGCGGCAGGCCUAACACAUGCAAGUCGAGCGAGACCUUCGGGUCUAGCGGCGGACGGGUGAGUAACGCGUGGGAACGUGCCCUUUUCUACGGAAUAGCCUCGGGAAACUGAGCGUAAUACCGUAUACGCCCUUUGGGGGAAAGAUUUAUCGGAGAAGGAUCGGCCCGCGUUGGAUUAGGUAGUUGGUGGGGUAAUGGCCUACCAAGCCUACGAUCCAUAGCUGGUUUGAGAGGAUGAUCAGCCACACUGGGACUGAGACACGGCCCAGACUCCUACGGGAGGCAGCAGUGGGGAAUCUUAGACAAUGGGGGCAACCCUGAUCUAGCCAUGCCGCGUGAGUGAUGAAGGCCUUAGGGUUGUAAAGCUCUUUCAGCUGGGAAGAUAAUGACGGGACCAGCAGAAGAAACCCCGGCUAACUCCGU
RNAcentral lists this ribosomal RNA (432 nucleotides) under uncultured bacterium. Its description in RNAcentral is "partial 16S ribosomal RNA". It matches the Rfam family "Bacterial small subunit ribosomal RNA", at positions 29 to 506 of the family's 1533-position model. The record is from RNAcentral.